UACGGGGGGUGUAAGCGUUGUUCGGAAUUACUGGGCGUAAAGGGCUCGUAGGCGGCCAACUAAGUCGGACGUGAAAUCCCUCAGCUUAACUGGGGAACUGCGUCCGAUACUGGAUGGCUUGGAUUUGGGAGAGGGAUGCGGAAUUCCAGGUGUAGCGGUGAAAUGCGUAGAUAUCUGGAGGAACACCGGUGGCGAAGGCGGCAUCCUGGACCAAUAUUGACGCUGAGGAGCGAAAGCCAGGGGAGCAAACGGG
RNAcentral lists this ribosomal RNA (253 nucleotides) under uncultured bacterium. RNAcentral describes it as "partial 16S ribosomal RNA". It matches the Rfam family "Bacterial small subunit ribosomal RNA", at positions 524 to 776 of the family's 1533-position model. The record is from RNAcentral.